This 253-nucleotide ribosomal RNA is filed under the name uncultured bacterium. Its description in RNAcentral is "partial 16S ribosomal RNA". It matches the Rfam family "Bacterial small subunit ribosomal RNA", at positions 524 to 776 of the family's 1533-position model. The record is from RNAcentral.
UACGGAGGGUGCAAGCGUUAUCCGGAUUCACUGGGUUUAAAGGGUCCGUAGGCGGUUUAGUAAGUCAGUGGUGAAAGCCCAUCGCUCAACGGUGGAACGGCCAUUGAUACUGCUAGACUUGAAUUAUUAGGAAGUAACUAGAAUAUGUAGUGUAGCGGUGAAAUGCUUAGAGAUUACAUGGAAUACCAAUUGCGAAGGCAGGUUACUACUAAUGGAUUGACGCUGAUGGACGAAAGCGUGGGUAGCGAACAGG